CUGAACUUAAGCAUAUCAAUAAGCGGAGGAAAAGAAACUAACAAGGAUUCCCCUAGUAACUGCGAGUGAAGCGGGAAAAGCUCAAAUUUAAAAUCUGGCGGUCUUUGGCCGUCCGAGUUGUAGUCUGGAGAAGCGUCUUCCGCGUUGGACCGUGUACAAGUCUCUUGGAACAGAGCGUCAUAGAGGGUGAGAAUCCCGUCUUUGACACGGACUACCAAUGCUUUGUGAUGCGCUCUCAAAGAGUCGCGUUGUUUGGGAAUGCAGCGCAAAAUGGGAGGUGAAUUCCUUCUAAAGCUAAAUAUUGGCGAGAGACCGAUAGCGAACAAGUACCGUGAGGGAAAGAUGAAAAGCACUUUGGAAAGAGAGUUAAACAGUACGUGAAAUUGCUAAAAGGGAAACGCUUGAAGUCAGUCGCGUCGUCCGGAACUCAGCUUUGCUUCGGCUUAGUGCACUUUCCGGUUGACGGGCCAGCAUCGAUUUUGACCGCUGGAAAAGGGUUGGAGGAAUGUGGCACCUUCGGGUGUGUUAUAGCCUUCAGUCGCAUACAGCGGUUGGGAUCGAGGAACGCAGCGCGCCUUAUGGCUGGGGUUCGCCCACAUUCGCGCUUAGGAUGCUGGCAUAAUGGCUUUAAACGACCCGUCUUGAAACACGGACCAAGGAGUCUAACAUGCCUGCGAGUGUUUGGGUGGAAAACCCGAGCGCGUAAUGAAAGUGAAAGUUGAGACCUCUGUCGUGGAGGGCAUCGACGCCCGGACCUGACGUUUUCUGAAGGAUCCGCGGUAGAGCAUGUAUGUUGGGACCCGAAAGAUGGUGAACUAUGCCUGAAUAGGGUGAAGCCAGAGG
This 843-nucleotide ribosomal RNA is filed under the name Trametes pubescens. RNAcentral's name for it is "eukaryotic LSU rRNA". It matches the Rfam family "Eukaryotic large subunit ribosomal RNA", at positions 28 to 858 of the family's 3401-position model. Lineage: Eukaryota; Fungi; Basidiomycota; Agaricomycetes; Polyporales; Polyporaceae. The record is from RNAcentral.